AAACCAACAGGGAUUGCCUCAGUAACGGCGAGUGAAGCGGCAACAGCUCAAAUUUGAAAUCUGGCUCUUUCAGGGUCCGAGUUGUAAUUUGUAGAAGAUGCUUUGGGUGUGGCUCCGGUCUAAGUUCCUUGGAACAGGACGUCAUAGAGGGUGAGAAUCCCGUACGUGACUGGUUGCCUUCGCUCGUGUAAAGCUCUUUCGACGAGUCGAGUUGUUUGGGAAUGCAGCUCAAAAUGGGUGGUAAAUUUCAUCUAAAGCUAAAUAUUGGCCAGAGACCGAUAGCGCACAAGUAGAGUGAUCGAAAGAUGAAAAGCACUUUGGAAAGAGAGUUAAACAGUACGUGAAAUUGUUGAAAGGGAAGCGCUUGCAACCAGACUUGCAUGCUGUUGAUCAUCCAGGUUUCUACCUGGUGCACUCGGCAGUGUUCAGGCCAGCAUCGGUUUCGGUGGGCGGAUAAAGGCCUUGGGAAUGUAGCUUCUUUCGGGGAGUGUUAUAGCCCUCGGUGCAAUGCGCCCUACCGGGACCGAGGACCGCGCUUCGGCUAGGAUGCUGGCGUAAUGGUUGUAAGCGAC
This 572-nucleotide ribosomal RNA is filed under the name Hyaloscypha japonensis. Its description in RNAcentral is "partial 28S ribosormal RNA". It matches the Rfam family "Eukaryotic large subunit ribosomal RNA", at positions 62 to 648 of the family's 3401-position model. Lineage: Eukaryota; Fungi; Ascomycota; Leotiomycetes; Helotiales; Hyaloscyphaceae. The record is from RNAcentral.